AUGUCUUCCUCAAGCGCUGCCGUCUCCUCCACCCUCAAUUACAACACCUCUGAACCACUUACCCGGACGAACUACGUUCUCUGGAAAGCUCAAGCCCGAUCCCAGAUACUGGGCGCUGGCCUCUAUGGCUACAUCGACGGCACCACCGUCGAGCCUCCCAAAACCCUUACCACCAAAGACAAAGACGGCAAAGAACAGGUCACUCCCAACCCUGCCCAUACCCCCUGGCUCGUCCAGGAUCAACAGAUCGUUGCGUAUCUCCCGGGCAACCUGUCCAAGGAAGUUCUCAUCCAGGUCGCCUCGCUUGAGUCCUCCCACGCCAUCUGGACUGCCUUGGCCACCAUGUUCUCC
This 351-nucleotide ribosomal RNA is filed under the name Triticum aestivum (bread wheat). Its description in RNAcentral is "partial small subunit ribosomal RNA". The record is from RNAcentral. Lineage: Eukaryota; Viridiplantae; Streptophyta; Magnoliopsida; Poales; Poaceae.